ACUCCUACGGGAGGCAGCAGUGGGGAAUAUUGCACAAUGGGGAAACCCUGAUGCAGCCAUGCCGCGUGUGUGAAGAAGGCCUCGGUUGUAAAGCACUUCAGUAGGGAGGAAGGUAGUGUAGUUAACACCUGCACUAUUUGACGUUACCUACAGAAGAAGCACCGGCUAACUCCGUGCCAGCAGCCGCGGUAAUACGGAGGGGUGCGAGCGUUAAUCGGAAUUACUGGGCGUAAAGCGCAUGCAGGCGGCCUGUUAAGUCAGAUGUGAAAGCCCGGGGGCUUAACCUCGGAAUUGCAUUUGAAACUGGCAGGCUAGAGUCUUGUAGAGGGGGUAGAAUUUCAGGUGUAGCGGUGAAAUGCGUAGAGAUCUGAAGGAAUACCAGUGGCGAAGGCGGCCCCCUGGACAAAGACUGACGCUCAGAUGCGAAAGCGUGGGGAGCAAACAGGAUUAGAUACCCUGGUAGACUGUCA
This 470-nucleotide ribosomal RNA is filed under the name uncultured bacterium. RNAcentral describes it as "bacterial SSU rRNA". It matches the Rfam family "Bacterial small subunit ribosomal RNA", at positions 335 to 802 of the family's 1533-position model. The record is from RNAcentral.